GGUUGUGGCUGAGUGGUAGAGCACUUGCCUAGCAUGCAUGAGGCACUGGGUUAGAUCCCCGCACCA
RNAcentral lists this transfer RNA (66 nucleotides) under Marmota monax (woodchuck). RNAcentral describes it as "tRNA.Ala". Lineage: Eukaryota; Metazoa; Chordata; Mammalia; Rodentia; Sciuridae. The record is from RNAcentral.